RNAcentral lists this ribosomal RNA (425 nucleotides) under uncultured bacterium. RNAcentral describes it as "partial 16S ribosomal RNA". It matches the Rfam family "Bacterial small subunit ribosomal RNA", at positions 354 to 796 of the family's 1533-position model. The record is from RNAcentral.
GUGGGGAAUGUUGGGCAAUGGGGGAAACCCUGACCCAGCAACGCCGCGUGAAGGAAGAAGGUUUUCGGAUCGUAAACUUCUAUCCUUGGUGAAGAUAAUGACGGUAGCCAAGAAGGAAGCCCCGGCUAACUACGUGCCAGCAGCCGCGGUAAUACGUAGGGGGCAAGCGUUGUCCGGAAUGAUUGGGCGUAAAGGGCGCGUAGGCGGCCCGGUAAGUCUGAAGUGAAAGUCCUGCUUUUAAGGUGGGAAUUGCUUUGGAUACUGUCGGGCUUGAGUGCAGGAGAGGUAAGCGGAAUUCCCGGUGUAGCGGUGAAAUGCGUAGAGAUCGGGAGGAACACCAGUGGCGAAGGCGGCUUACUGGACUGUAACUGACGCUGAGGCGCGAAAGUGUGGGGAGCAAACAGGAUUAGAUACCCGAGUAGUCC